RNAcentral lists this microRNA precursor (88 nucleotides) under Canis lupus familiaris (dog). RNAcentral's name for it is "mir-8799 microRNA precursor family". It matches the Rfam family "mir-8799 microRNA precursor family". The record is from Rfam by way of RNAcentral. RNAcentral also lists the same sequence under 1 other name. Lineage: Eukaryota; Metazoa; Chordata; Mammalia; Carnivora; Canidae.
GGGGGGAGGCCGGAAUCUGUGCUGUGUCCCGGUGCCCUGUGAUCCCGGUCUGCGCUGUUGGAUUCACGCUCCGGCUGUGCAGCCCCCU